Molecule: transfer RNA, 85 nt
Filed under: Felis catus (domestic cat)
Lineage: Eukaryota; Metazoa; Chordata; Mammalia; Carnivora; Felidae
Rfam family: tRNA
About the family: Transfer RNA (tRNA) molecules are approximately 80 nucleotides in length. Their secondary structure includes four short double-helical elements and three loops (D, anti-codon, and T loops).
Source: Rfam by way of RNAcentral
GCCUGGGUGGCUCAGUUGGUUAAGCAUCUGACUUCAGCUCAGGUCAUGAUCUCGCAGUCUGUGAGUUUGAGCCCCACGUCAGGCU